This 1018-nucleotide long non-coding RNA is filed under the name Dasypus novemcinctus (nine-banded armadillo). RNAcentral describes it as "lncRNA (ENSDNOG00000050881.1)". Lineage: Eukaryota; Metazoa; Chordata; Mammalia; Cingulata; Dasypodidae. The record is from RNAcentral.
CGAGGUGGGAGGGACCCUGGCCCCAGGCGCCCCCACGCCCCACUGUUCCCUGCCCUGCCUGGAACCCCCAUUUCCUCCUCGACCCCUGCCCCCGCCCGCUCUGCCUUGGGCAGGUCAUGUGUUGUGGGGACACCCGCCAGCGGGCGGAGGCCAGGAGGGUUCUCCCAGCUCCUGAGAGUCAGGAGGCUCGAGUCCCCUGGACUCCUAAGGGGGAAGUAACACAGUGCUGUGUUCCAGAGCCAGGGAAACAGACACCCUAGAAGAAGAAGCCUCCCAGCCAGCCUCAGCUGGCCCUGGGUGGUCAAGGAAGGCUUCCUGGAAGAAGCAGUGAAUGCACAUUGUCAGACGAGGAGGCCGGGUCCACACAGGCCUGCCGGAGCCGAGCAGAUGGAGCGCAGGACCCAGCGGCAGGGACGGGGCCCUCCUGACUCCCAGGUCUGGGGGUUGGUGACCAGCACGGGACGGGGCCGCCAGCACCCUCCAACCCUCCACCGUCUGAUGGCAGAACACAGUCCUGGCACGGGCCCCCUGGAGGCCCCCGAGCCAGCCCCCUGUUCCGCUCAGGACGCCUCCUCAGCACUGGGUCUCAGCAGGGACACUUUGGCCCCCAGGGACAUUGGCCACGUCUGCAGAUGCAUACGACCGACUCCAAACAGGGCUACCUGCAGUGGGGGCCACAGGCCAGGCAUGCCACUGCCUGUCCUGCAACUCCCAGCACACCGCCCGCCACCGAGACUUCCCUGCCAACACGUGAGCAGUGCCCAGGUGGGGAAACCCUGGUGGGCAGGAUUCUAGAAACUCACUCAUCCCAACACUUCUUGAAUACUUCCAGGGACAGGGAUCUCACUACCUGGCUAUAAGGUAGUGCAAUGUAGUGCUGGGUCCAAAGCCUGGGUGUCCAUCUUGCUGGAAAAUGGGGGAGCCUGGGCAAGGACUUGUCCUGACCUCGGUAUCUUCAGGUGGAAAAGGCAGCUCGUACUCUGAGGCUCCCAGACUGUCACAGAGCUGUGCCCACUGA